UAUAUCAGAAUUUGGAGAGCCCUUUUCUCUCACAAACCUUGAAGAGUGGCGCCUCUCUACUCAAAACCAAGAGACAAACGACCAGCCCCCUUUUCUUCUUCACCAUUUUUUCCAACCCCAAAAUCAAAAGCUAACCAUCGGAUCUCCCUCCCACUCAUCUGCACUCACUCACUUCACUCACGUAACACACACCUUUAGAAGCAAAGAAAAGUGUUAGAAGUAGAGAAUUUGAAUUCUAGAUCUGAAGGAAAAGAAGAGCUCCAAAGAGCAAAACAACAAUCAAAAAGGGAUUUCCAAUACUAUUUUGAUUUCGGCUACAUCAGUGCAUUAAUUUCUGGGUUUCGAGUCGAUUUUUUUUGGAUUUUAAAUUGGAAUUGUUCUGUUGAUUUCGGCUGCUGCUUUUUUCAUUGUCGCUUCUGAACUCCAUCAGCUCUAGCAUGGCCUUUAUUUGGCCAUUGACAUUUGUUAGAUUGAUUCAUGUGCAUUAGGUACAUAUUCGAACCAUGAUUUGGUAGCUUUGAAGUGAAAUGAUGAAAUGAAAUGCUCAUCCAUUUGCCUCCUGAAAUGUAGUUGUUCGAGCUGUCAUAGUCGAAUAGAUAAUAGUUGAUCUGUAUUUGUUUAAGUUUACUUUUGCUUUGUGUUUACAUAAUCCCUGGAUUGUAUAACUUGGACUGCUUGGGACUGUUUGAGACUUUUAAAUUUGAUAUGUUUCAUCUAGUAGUAGCAUUAGUAUGAAAUAACUUAAUGUCUUAUUUUUGGUUCGA
Nicotiana attenuata is the source of this 764-nucleotide long non-coding RNA. RefSeq lists it as uncharacterized. The transcript has 2 exons. The record is from RefSeq and is a predicted model, not a curated record. Lineage: Eukaryota; Viridiplantae; Streptophyta; Magnoliopsida; Solanales; Solanaceae.